UGUCUCCUCACGCAGUCCCCGGGGCGGCCCAGCCUCCUGUGUCUCGAGCACUUGGCCCAGGACCGACGGCUUAGGCUGGUUUCCCCCCAUGUGUUUCUCCGCAAGGGGUAGCUGACUUUUUGUUGGAUGAGAAUUAAAGAACGAGCUUUUCCCGCAACGUUUUGGUAGAAGGCCCUCUUUCCCAUUACAGGCUCAUUUCCACCUGCCCCCAGUAGAGGAUCUUGGAAAUGGGGGGGGGAGCCCCUGCACUUAGUUAUUCCUUAGAGCCAUGUCUCCCUGCCAACCAUUGCCCCUCAGCACCCACGGGCUCCGGCGCCCCCUGAUUAGCGGGGAAGUCCGCUAGGAGAAGAUCCUGACAGCAUAAAAUAUAAUUUGUGAUCUAAAAGACAGUUUCCAGUAUAAUCUCAUUAUGCACCACAGACUCCCGGUGUUAUUUUGUGGAAGGCGGACAAUGAUCAAUUUACAUUGACCCGGGCUGGGCGAGCUUUUAGAUGGUAAUUGCCAUAUUGAUUUGCAUGCAAAAAGGAGACCUGCUAAAAUUAAAGACCGGAAGCUAAAUUAAACUAAAUUUAUUGUCUAGGUGCAAACCGGAGAAACUACUGGGGGGAUGGGGGUGAGUCAGGUCAGGGUGCCAGGAGCAGACCAGGUGAGAAGCUUUGGAACCUCAGAGAGUUGGGAGCUGUCUUUGCUCUGGUGAUUUCAAAAUGUGAGGAGGGGGCUUGUUUAGGGUAUGGGGACCCAGCGGGGAAAAAGUUAUAAACCGGCACUACUGCAUUGAAGGCACUAGGGUCUUUUAAUGCUAAUAGUAACUGCUGGGGGGGGGGGGGAGAGGUUUAUAGGGCUAUAGAGGGGUCUUCCUGAACCGUUUCCGGCACCCCUCAUUUCUAUUGUUCUACCUGAGCGCUCACAGCCAUGCCCAAGGACACGCAAAAUUCUUGGAUCUGAAGCCUUAAAAAUUUUUGUAAAGGCAGGCCUUUAACCUACCCCCCGCCCCCCAGCCGUCAGGUCUUUCUGAGAGAACUAGAGUAGGGGGCGGCUCUGCACCCGCGCGCCACGCCGCGAGCAGGCUCGGACCGUUGGAGGCUGCGGGACUUCCUCCCUGGACCAGCUCCAGACUCUGCCCGACGCCGUUGUCUUCCGGAAGCUCUCUUCAGGUGGCCCAAGAGACUAGACGCUUGAAGAAAAGCUGCCAUCCAAGAAGACGACAUGCUUUCAGCAACCCCCCUGUAUGGGAACGUUCACAGCUGGAUGAACAGCGAGAGGGUCCGCAUGUGUGGAAUCAGUGACGACAGGUGAAUGCAUGGGUCUGGCUGAGGCCUGGGGAGCAUGCGGGUCCUUCCCUGGGGCUCCUAAGCAGAGCCCCCUUCACCUCCUCACAGCCAGAGUGGGCCCAAAGGGGGGUGGUGGGGGGAGAUCUCCUGCCUAGCUGGCAGCCUUGAUUUACAGUUUUAACAGGCAACCCGGCUCAGCGAAGCAUUGCCGCCCUUUAAGAGAUUAGCCCCUAAAGCGGCCUUUCAGUGCUCUUUCGUCCUUAAUUUAUUAUUUCAUAUUUAUGAAGGAGAAUUAAUCCCAGUCUAUAUGCUGCUUUAACUCUAAAUGUCAGGAGUGUGGGCCCAGGUGGAUCGGCAUUCGAUGUGCUUUUAAAACAAAUAGUUUGCUCAGUAAUAAAUGGGGCAAAAGCCACCCUUCA
This 1690-nucleotide long non-coding RNA is filed under the name Bos indicus x Bos taurus (hybrid cattle). Its description in RNAcentral is "lncRNA (ENSBIXG00000029152.1)". Lineage: Eukaryota; Metazoa; Chordata; Mammalia; Artiodactyla; Bovidae. The record is from RNAcentral.